This 329-nucleotide unclassified non-coding RNA is filed under the name soil metagenome. RNAcentral's name for it is "partial contains 5.8S ribosomal RNA, internal transcribed spacer 2, and large subunit ribosomal RNA". The stretch from base 1 to 120 matches the Rfam family "5.8S ribosomal RNA", at positions 35 to 154 of the family's 154-position model. The record is from RNAcentral.
GAUGAAGAACGUAGCGAAAUGCGAUAAGUAGUGUGAAUUGCAGAAUUCAGUGAAUCAUCGAAUCUUUGAACGCACAUUGCGCCCCUUGGUAUCCCGAGGGGCAUGCCUGUUCGAGCGUCAUUUCACCACUCAAGCCUGGCUUGGUGUUGGGCGACGUCCUCUUUGGGGACGCGCCUCGAAACGCUCGGCGGCAUGGCACCGGCUUUAAGCGUAGCAGAAUCUUUCGCUUUGGAAGUCGGGGCCCCGUCUGCCGGAAGACCUGCUCGCAAGGUUGACCUCGGAUCAGGCAGGGAUACCCGCUGAACUUAAGCAUAUCAAUAAGCGGAGGA